CAGGAUGGUCUCAAUCUCUUGACCUCAUGAUCUGCCACCUUGGGCUCCCAAAGUGCUGGGAUUAUAGGCACCACGCCUGGCCCUAAUCUCUUCUCAAAGUACUUUUUUCUUUAAUGAAUGUCUUAAAUAAAAACUUUUUUCUAACCACAAACUUUUUUUUAAAUUAUUUUAUUAUGUAAUUUUUUUUUAGAGAGUUGGUCUUGCUGUUUGGACCCGGCUGGAGUGCAGUGAUAUUCACAAGUGUGAUCUUAGUGCAUGAGAGCUUCAUAUUCCUGGGCUCACAAUCCUUCUACCUCAGCCUGCCAAGUAGCUGUCACUACAGGUACCAGCUGCUGUGCCUGGCUUCCACCUUUUUUUUUUUUUUUUCUUUAAUCAGUUCCUUUUAAAGACCAAAGAAAACCUGUCCUCUUGUGUGGCCUGAGUUGAUCUAUGAACAUUAUUCACUAUGACCCAGAAAAUCCCACGAAGUCGUGCAUGUUAGAAGGAUGAAACCCUCAUGUUCACUGUAAACUGUGAAGGUGCUCAGGCCAUCACAGGUAUGCCUAUAUGAAAAGCCACCAAGUAUCUGAAAUAUUUUCUUUUACAGAAAUUAUGUGUACCAUUUCAGUCUUAGAAAGUGGAGUUGGUCGCUGUACGCAAGACAGACAUUGGGGCUGGACUCACCAUCAGUGGCCCCGAAAAGGUACUGAAAUUUGCUUACAAGUGCAGAGUUAUGCUGAACUUAAGGGUAUAGAUGUAGAUUCCCUGGUUAUUGAGCACAUCCAGGGAAAAGGCACCCAUAAUGUACCACCUGACUUACAGAACUCAUGGGCAGAUGAACCCAUCCACAAACUCCCCUGCCACAUCCAGAUGAUGCUUAGUGAAAAGAAACACCUUGUUCCAAAAGCAGAAAAGGAGGAUGCACGGAAGAAAAAGAUACCCCAGAAGAAACAUAAACUUAAGAGACAAACAAAUUCAGCCAAAAGAAAAUGCAAAUAAAAGUUCAAAACAAAACAAAACAAAAAAACCUCUAAAAUUCAUAAAACACAAAAUGACAAACUCUAUUAAAUAUGCCCCUAUGAUAUCUCUUAGAUAAAAGUUGGCCGUAAUAGAGAAAAUGAAGAUAGGUGUUGGUGACUGGCAGAUUCUGGGUCUACGAUGAAUCAGAGAAGGAUGGUUUUCACUUUGUUUUACAUUUUUUUAAUGCUUGAUGUUGACUUGGUAGAAAGAUGAUAAUAAAGAGAUUCUUCUGUCUAUGUGUUUCUUUUAGAUUACUCAUGUGGACUGAAGAAAAAAAAUUAAAUUUGUUAAAGAAAGUGAGUUUGAUUUAGGAUUGUGACUGAGGACAAUAGCCUGGAAGCAGUUCUGACAGAUGGCUGCUAUGUAAUAUUUUGGUUCACAGUUUAUAAGAGACAUGUGGGCCCUGUGCUCUAUCUUGUUUUUUCUUCAAAGCAUAAUUCUGGAGAGCUGGAGAGUCCCAGAGUCAGGAAUGUUAUAAAGUCAGGCUGGAAACCAGAAAUAAGUAACAUGACUAAACA
This is a long non-coding RNA of Homo sapiens (human), 1517 nucleotides long. The record is from Ensembl. NCBI's taxonomy places the organism in Eukaryota, Metazoa, Chordata, Mammalia, Primates, Hominidae.